Non-coding RNA from Caenorhabditis elegans, 121 nucleotides. The record is from Ensembl. Lineage: Eukaryota; Metazoa; Nematoda; Chromadorea; Rhabditida; Rhabditidae.
GAAAGGUCAUUCGGGAAUGACCGCAAUCUGAGUUUGUCCCCCUCACCCCGAUCGUUAUCAUAUGCAUAACCCCCAGUGUCCGGUCUUUAGCGUUCCGUCCUUCUUUCUAUACCAUUUACCU